UACGAAGGGUGCAAGCGUUACUCGGAAUUACUGGGCGUAAAGCGUGCGUAGGUGGUUCGUUAAGUCUGUCGUGAAAGCCCCGGGCUCAACCUGGGAAUGGCGAUGGAUACUGGCGGGCUAGAGUGCGGUAGAGGAGAGUGGAAUUCCCGGUGUAGCAGUGAAAUGCGUAGAGAUCGGGAGGAACAUCGGUGGCGAAAGCGCUCUACUGGACCGCAACUGACACUCAGGGACGAAAGCUAGGGGAGCGAAUGGG
Molecule: ribosomal RNA, 253 nt
Filed under: uncultured bacterium
Lineage: Bacteria
Description: partial 16S ribosomal RNA
Rfam family: Bacterial small subunit ribosomal RNA
Source: RNAcentral